GAUGAACUCUGGCGGCGUGCCUAAUACAUGCAAGUCGAGCGAAUGGAUUAAGAGCUUGCUCUUAUGAAGUUAGCGGCGGACGGGUGAGUAACACGUGGGUAACCUGCCCAUAAGACUAGGAUAACUCCGGGAAACCGGGGCUAAUACCGGAUAACAUUUUGAACCGCAUGGUUCGAAAUUGACAGGCGGCUUCGGCUGGCACUUAUGGAUGGACCCGCGUCGCAUUAGCUAGUUGGUGAGGUAACGGCUCACCAAGGCAACGAUGCGUAGCCGACCUGAGAGGGUGAUCGGCCACACUGGGACUGAGACACGGCCCAGACUCCUACGGGAGGCAGCAGUAGGGAAUCUUCCGCAAUGGACGAAAGUCUGACGGAGCAACGCCGCGUGAGUGAUGAAGGCUUUCGGGUCGUAAAACUCUGUUGUUAGGGAAGAACAAGUGCUAGUUGAAUAAGCUGGCACCUUGACGGUACCUAACCAGAAAGCCACGGCUAACUACGUGCCAGCCGCCGCGGUAA
This 515-nucleotide ribosomal RNA is filed under the name uncultured bacterium. RNAcentral's name for it is "partial 16S ribosomal RNA". It matches the Rfam family "Bacterial small subunit ribosomal RNA", at positions 28 to 523 of the family's 1533-position model. The record is from RNAcentral.